AGCGAACGCCGGCGGCAGGCUUAACACAUGCAAGUCGAGCGGGCAUAGCAAUAUGUCAGCGGCAGACGGGUGAGUAACGCGUGGGAACGUACCUUUUGGUUCGGAACAACUGAGGGAAACUUCAGCUAAUACCGGAUAAGCCCUUACGGGGAAAGAUUUAUCGCCGAAAGAUCGGCCCGCGUCUGAUUAGCUAGGUGGUGAGGUAAUGGCUCACCAAGGCGACGAUCAGUAGCUGGUCUGAGAGGAUGAUCAGCCACAUUGGGACUGAGACACGGCCCAAACUCCUACGGGAGGCAGCAGUGGGGAAUAUUGGACAAUGGGCGCAAGCCUGAUCCAGCCAUGCCGCGUGAGUGAUGAAGGCCCUAGGGUUGUAAAGCUCUUUUGUGCGGGAAGAUAAUGACGGUACCGCAAGAAUAAGCCCCGGCUAACUUCGUGCCAGCCGCCGCAGUAA
Molecule: ribosomal RNA, 451 nt
Filed under: uncultured bacterium
Lineage: Bacteria
Description: partial 16S ribosomal RNA
Rfam family: Bacterial small subunit ribosomal RNA
Source: RNAcentral